UAACAGUUAUAUUGUUGAGUGGGAAAUUACAACUAACAUUUACGUUACAUGUAACGUUGUGUUUGGUAGGAAUAUAAUGUUUCUUUCAAGAUUUUCAAUGUUUUUCCUUGUUUUUAUUGAAUAUCCAUUUGUUGUCAAUUUGAUACCAAUUCGAUACUCGCGAGAGUUGCAGUGAAAAGCGCCGCGGUGCGGUACGUCGCCACACCGCGGUCUGCUCUUUUAACCUCUUUUCGUCUUUCGUCCCUAUCUUGUUACCGGCCGGCUAAAGUGGGCAAAAGUGUACAACGUGUAUCAUCGCUUUAUAUAGACUAUUAUUAUUGUUUCCUGUAAAAAAGAAAGUUUCGAAACGUAGUCGCAACUAUAAGAAGCUGGCUAAAGUACGAGUAUACCACGUGUAUCUGCAUAUAUUGCUUUAAAUCAUAGACUAUUGCUUCUUGUAAAAAAGGAACUGAAGUAAAAUUGUACGUUUCGAAAGAUAGCCACAGCUAUAAAAGAAGCUGGCUAAAGUAUAUAACGUGUGUGCCUGCAUAUAAGUGCACGAUGUCAGAGAAUAGGCCUGUAUUUUUUCCAAAAUUACCAUUAUUAAUUUUAUUAUCAUGAUUCUACUCAAAAUGUUUCUCUCAAGUGGUUUGUAAUGGCCGUUUUACAAUGAGUACUUUAGUCGUAAUUCAACAGUAUGGCUAUUUGGGAGUCAUAAGUCGUUAAUCGUAGCAAAUUUAUAUCUAAAAUGAAAUAAUAUAGUUUAUAAUUACAAAUAACACAGUUUUAUUUGCCUUAUAACACGAUUAUAACUUAAUUCCGUUUCCAAUAUCUGAUCAACGACUAACAACUCAUUGCAAAACGACUAUAUAUAUUUUGAUUUGCGCUUGCUGUGUCAUUGUCGAUUCUUGAUCCUUGAUAAAAAUGCCCUAUUGUUUUAGGAUUUUAAGAAAAAGUUAUAUUCCUUAAGACAAGAAUUGUGUGUCAUUCUUUGCUAAACAUACCUGGCAUGUUUGCGAUGUAAAAUGACUUGGCUAAAAAUUUGCUGUUUUAUUAGCUGUUUUAUCUGACGCUACGAGAUCGAAAGCUUUCGAAUCCUGAGAACUUAUUUUCUUCCCCUUAAUUUUAAGGAUAACUGUUAAAAAUAAGUCAUGUACAAUUUAAACAAAUUGUCCCAAACUAUUUUAUUCUAUUUUGGAUCUGAAUACUAGUACAGAUCCGAUAG
This is a long non-coding RNA of Solenopsis invicta (red fire ant), 1204 nucleotides long. RefSeq lists it as uncharacterized. The record is from RefSeq and is a predicted model, not a curated record. The transcript has 3 exons. Lineage: Eukaryota; Metazoa; Arthropoda; Insecta; Hymenoptera; Formicidae.